CACGGAGUUAGCCGAUCCUUAUUCUUACGAUACCGUCAAGCCCCAACACGUUGGAGUAUUUCUUCUCGUACAAAAGCAGUUUACAAUCCAUAGGACCGUCAUCCUGCACGCGGCAUGGCUGGAUCAGGCUUGCGCCCAUUGUCCAAUAUUCCUCACUGCUGCCUCCCGUAGGAGUCUGGUCCGUGUCUCAGUACCAGUGUGGGGGAUCUCCCUCUCAGGACCCCUACCCAUCGUAGCCUUGGUAAGCCGUUACCUUACCAACAAGCUAAUGGGACGCAUGCUCAUCUUUCACCGUUGUGACUUUAAUAGUUCAACCAUGCGGCUGUACUAUACUAUGAGGUAUUAAUCCAAAUUUCUCUGGGCUAUCCCUCUGUGAAAGGCAGAUUGCAUACGCGUUACGCACCCGUGCGCCGGUCUCUAGCACCGAAGUACUAUACCCCUCGACUUGCAUGUGUUAAGCCUGCCGCUAGCGUUCAUCCUGAGCCAGGAUA
Molecule: ribosomal RNA, 491 nt
Filed under: uncultured Flavobacterium sp.
Lineage: Bacteria; Pseudomonadati; Bacteroidota; Flavobacteriia; Flavobacteriales; Flavobacteriaceae
Description: partial 16S ribosomal RNA
Source: RNAcentral